CCCACCAGAAACCAAUGAUUUCAUUUCUCCU
Molecule: non-coding RNA, 31 nt
Filed under: Mus musculus (house mouse)
Lineage: Eukaryota; Metazoa; Chordata; Mammalia; Rodentia; Muridae
Source: RNAcentral